Molecule: long non-coding RNA, 893 nt
Filed under: Capsicum annuum
Lineage: Eukaryota; Viridiplantae; Streptophyta; Magnoliopsida; Solanales; Solanaceae
Description: long non-coding RNA (CANN_LNC015667)
Source: RNAcentral
GGAAUUUGGUCAUGAUUUUUACAUACUUGUGGUUCCAUGAUUUAUAUUUCCAAAGAAACAAGAAUUUCAUGAUUUCGACAUUCCUAAUUAAAGUUUUUAAUUAUACACUAUGGACGUGCGAAUAUGAAAAAAAAAGGGAGGCAAAAUUUGAGCUGAGUUUAUAAUGAAAUCUGUACAAAUCCAAUGGGAAUUCAGUCAUGAUUUUUACAUACAUUGUGGUUCCAUGAGUUAUCUUUCCAACAGAAUAAGAAUUUAAUAAUUUCGUCACUCCUAGUUCGAGUUAUGGAUUUUCUACCACAGACAUGCAAGGCUGAAAAACUGCGCAUUGAAAAAAGAUAAUAAUUUUGAGCCAAGUUGAAAACGAAAUCUGUACAAAUCUGGAGAACUUAUGAUCAUGAUUUUUACAUACAUCGUAGUUUAAUCAGUUAUGUUUCCAAUGGAAUAAGAAUUUCAUGAUUUUGACACUCCUAGUUCGAGUUAUGAUUUUUUUCAUAAACAUCCAAAUCUGAAAAAAUUGCGAUACAAAAUUCGAGCUGUCUUUUAUGGAAGAUUUCCACAAGUGCAAAAAGAAGCUUUUGGUCGUGAUUUUCAUACAUAUUGUAGUUUUGUGAAUUUUUGUUCCAAUGGUGCAACUGCCUCAGAAUUCGAAAUUAUUUGUCUCAUGCCACGUAUGUCAAAUUGUAUGGAUCAGGGAAGACAAAUAAAAUUUGAUUUGCAUGUCAGAUUUGAAAAUAAACUACAUAGAACAGAAGCAUUAAAAGAAAUAUGUCACUUUUAUAGCUCCAAGAGAGACUACCAAUACAUCAUGACAGGAUCAAAAAAGAAAAUAAAACUAGAACAAAAAGAAAGAGAACAUUAUUGUGCAAAAACAGAAAAAAAUUAAGGAUUAAGGG